CCUACGGGUGGCAGCAGUGAGGAAUAUUGGUCAAUGGACGGGAGUCUGAACCAGCCAAGUAGCGUGAAGGAUGACUGCCCUAUGGGUUGUAAACUUCUUUUAUAUGGGAAUAAAAUGUUCCACGUGUGGGAUUUUGUAUGUACCAUAUGAAUAAGGAUCGGCUAACUCCGUGCCAGCAGCCGCGGUAAUACGGAGGAUCCGAGCGUUAUCCGGAUUUAUUGGGUUUAAAGGGAGCGUAGGUGGAUUGUUAAGUCAGUUGUGAAAGUUUGCGGCUCAACCGUAAAAUUGCAGUUGAAACUGGCAGUCUUGAGUACAGUAGAGGUGGGCGGAAUUCGUGGUGUAGCGGUGAAAUGCUUAGAGAUCACGAAGAACUCCGAUUGCGAAGGCAGUUCACUGGACUGCAACUGACACUGAGGCUCGAAAGUGUGGGUAUCAAACAGGAUUAGAUACCCGAGUAGUC
RNAcentral lists this ribosomal RNA (460 nucleotides) under uncultured bacterium. RNAcentral describes it as "partial 16S ribosomal RNA". It matches the Rfam family "Bacterial small subunit ribosomal RNA", at positions 338 to 795 of the family's 1533-position model. The record is from RNAcentral.